CUGCUGUUAAAAAGCUCGUAGUUGGAUCAAGAGUUGGACAGUGCACGGUGGCCCUGUUUGUUAGGUUGGCUCCGGUCAGUCUAGCGGCAGCGGAACAACCCCGUGCGCCAAACUGUCCACUCUAACAGGUCGAAACGGUUCCCUGUGAGUAGGUUUCUUAAUUGAGACUGAAAGCGCCUACGCAUCAACCAUAUGCAUACGGGACGUCGACCAAUGUUACUGUGAACAAACCAGCGUGUCCAAAGCAGGCUUCCGCCUGAAUGUUCGAGCAUGGAAUAACAAGGGAUCGAUUCUCUCGGUUCUUUUUGUUGGUUUUUAACCCGAGAAGGAGAAAUUCAGGCCACGGUGUCUGAGUUGGGUUUCCCUGGGCUUCGGCUCAGGCCCCAAUUAGGCCGUGUCCUUACGGGAUCAAUAGGGACUGACGGGGUCGUAGCUACUUCCGCGUCAGAGGUGAAAUUCUUAGAUCGCGGGAAGAGCAACUUCUGCGAAAGCAUUCGACAAGAAUGUC
Molecule: ribosomal RNA, 508 nt
Filed under: uncultured marine eukaryote
Lineage: Eukaryota
Description: bacterial SSU rRNA
Rfam family: Eukaryotic small subunit ribosomal RNA
Source: RNAcentral